This 254-nucleotide ribosomal RNA is filed under the name uncultured bacterium. RNAcentral's name for it is "partial 16S ribosomal RNA". It matches the Rfam family "Bacterial small subunit ribosomal RNA", at positions 524 to 776 of the family's 1533-position model. The record is from RNAcentral.
UACGAAGGGGGCUAGCGUUGCUCGGAAUCACUGGGCGUAAAGGGUGCGUAGGCGGGUCUUUAAGUCAGGGGUGAAAUCCUGGGAGCUCAACUCCAGAACUGCCUUUGAUACUGAGGAUCUUGAGUUCGGGAGAGGUGAGUGGAACUGCGAGUGUAGAGGUGAAAUUCGUAGAUAUUCGCAAGAACACCAGUGGCGAAGGCGGCUCACUGGCCCGAUACUGACGCUGAGGCACGAAAGCGUGGGGAGCAAACAGG